GCCCAUCAGAGGCCCAUUAGGCCAGAUUCUUCCACAAAUGCCCAUAGGACGAGAAGAGCCAGGUGCCUUUGAGGAGUCUGAAAGGAAGGAAACAUCGUGCCUCGGAAGAGUCUGAGGAGACUGGCGCCUACCAGGGGGACUGAGGAGGACUAGGGCCUCCCGUCAUUCCUGCCCGGGCCCCGGGAGGGGCUGGAGGACAGACAGAAGUGACCACGCAGGCUAAUUCAGAGUGUUCGUUCAUCCACGUGUUCACUCAAGUCCCAUUCCUUGAGUCCCAGCACUGCUGUAGGGCCUGGGGGCUACCAGAUGGGUCCCUGCCCUCGUGGAGCUCGAGAUGAUGGGAAGGCUUCGGUGGGCUCAGAACAUGGAGGUGAUGUGAUCUGAUUGCUGUUUUAAAAUGACCACCCUGGCUGCAGGAAGGAGAACGGGAUGCUUUUGGCAGAGGAGGCCCGAAGGGUGAAGUGCUCUUCAUCCUUCGAAGUCCAGUUCAAGCGGCCCCUCCUCCGUGAAGCCUUCCCUGGACACUCCCUCCACACCA
Diceros bicornis minor is the source of this 538-nucleotide long non-coding RNA. RefSeq lists it as uncharacterized. The transcript has 3 exons. The record is from RefSeq and is a predicted model, not a curated record. NCBI's taxonomy places the organism in Eukaryota, Metazoa, Chordata, Mammalia, Perissodactyla, Rhinocerotidae.